RNAcentral lists this ribosomal RNA (467 nucleotides) under Achromobacter xylosoxidans. Its description in RNAcentral is "bacterial SSU rRNA". It matches the Rfam family "Bacterial small subunit ribosomal RNA", at positions 13 to 474 of the family's 1533-position model. The record is from RNAcentral. Lineage: Bacteria; Pseudomonadati; Pseudomonadota; Betaproteobacteria; Burkholderiales; Alcaligenaceae.
UUGAUCCUGGCUCAGAUUGAACGCUAGCGGGAUGCCUUACACAUGCAAGUCGAACGGCAGCACGGACUUCGGUCUGGUGGCGAGUGGCGAACGGGUGAGUAAUGUAUCGGAACGUGCCCAGUAGCGGGGGAUAACUACGCGAAAGCGUAGCUAAUACCGCAUACGCCCUACGGGGGAAAGCAGGGGAUCGCAAGACCUUGCACUAUUGGAGCGGCCGAUAUCGGAUUAGCUAGUUGGUGGGGUAACGGCUCACCAAGGCGACGAUCCGUAGCUGGUUUGAGAGGACGACCAGCCACACUGGGACUGAGACACGGCCCAGACUCCUACGGGAGGCAGCAGUGGGGAAUUUUGGACAAUGGGGGAAACCCUGAUCCAGCCAUCCCGCGUGUGCGAUGAAGGCCUUCGGGUUGUAAAGCACUUUUGGCAGGAAAGAAACGUCGCGGGUUAAUACCUCCGCGAAACUGACG